Molecule: long non-coding RNA, 211 nt
Filed under: Panax ginseng (ginseng)
Lineage: Eukaryota; Viridiplantae; Streptophyta; Magnoliopsida; Apiales; Araliaceae
Description: long non-coding RNA (PGIN_LNC009060)
Source: RNAcentral
CUCAUUUCAAAAUCAAAUUUCCUACGGCUCAUGGGGUUGGUGAGGUGAAAGGAGAUUUGGAUCUGGCCAGAAGAUGUUAUAGAAAUGCUGUGAUUACUUCGGGAGUGGGGGUAUCAAAACAAAAGCAGACCAUGGUGAUAGAGAUUAACCCUUCACUGAGAGUAGUUCCGAACCAUUGGUCAUGCCAGCUGAAGAAACAGAGGAGAUAGAG